GGAUGUAGCUCACUGGUAGAGCUCAUGCUUAGCGCACAGAAGGUCCUGGGUUCAAUUCCCAGUACAUCCA
Molecule: transfer RNA, 70 nt
Filed under: Camelus bactrianus (Bactrian camel)
Lineage: Eukaryota; Metazoa; Chordata; Mammalia; Artiodactyla; Camelidae
Also listed under: 2 other names
Rfam family: tRNA
About the family: Transfer RNA (tRNA) molecules are approximately 80 nucleotides in length. Their secondary structure includes four short double-helical elements and three loops (D, anti-codon, and T loops).
Source: Rfam by way of RNAcentral